This 492-nucleotide ribosomal RNA is filed under the name uncultured bacterium. RNAcentral's name for it is "partial 16S ribosomal RNA". It matches the Rfam family "Bacterial small subunit ribosomal RNA", at positions 29 to 507 of the family's 1533-position model. The record is from RNAcentral.
AGUGAACGCUGGCGGUAGGCCUAACACAUGCAAGUCGAACGGCAGCACAGUAAGAGCUUGCUCUUACGGGUGGCGAGUGGCGGACGGGUGAGGAAUACAUCGGAAUCUACUUUUUCGUGGGGGAUAACGUAGGGAAACUUACGCUAAUACAGCAUACCACCUACGGGUGAAAGCAGGGGAUCUUCGGACCUUGCGCGAUUGAAUGAGCCGAUGUCGGAUUAGCUAGUUGGCGGGGUAAAGGCCCACCAAGGCGACGAUCCGUAGCUGGUCUGAGAGGAUGAUCGGCCACACUGGAACUGAGACCCGGUCCAGACUCCUACGGGAGGCAGCAGUGGGGAAUAUUGGACAAUGGGCGCAAGCCUGAUCCAGCCAUACCGCGUGGGUGAAGAAGGCCUUCGGGUUGUAAAGCCCUUUUGUUGGGAAAGAAAAGCAGCAGGUUAAUACCCCGAUGUUCUGACGGUACCCAAAGAAUAAGCACCGGCUAACUUCGUG